CCCUUAGGACAUUCCAAGGAUUUUAGGAGUUGUAUGCCAGGAAAUAGGGACAAAGACCAAAUUUGUAUUUGACAAAAUCACAGAACCGUAUGAGUAUUUAAUUCAAUACAGGCAUGGAAACUGGCCCAAGCAUUUACUCACAGAUGACUGGGCAAAUCCCUGGUCCUAUGGGUACAAACUAUUGAUCAAACCCCCAAUCUCAUUCCUACCCCUAAAAUAUAGCAACGUGAAAGAUCUUAUUACCUAUUUGGACUGAGAUUAACACCAUCCCUUAAACUGCAUGGCUUUCAAUCCCAGGGCUAUGGCGUGUGAUGCCACAUAGAAUAUGCAUGAAUCUUCUCUCCAACAAUUGAGUUGUUAGGAUAAAGGCUCUUGUCUUUGCCUUCUUUCUCUCACAGCCAAGAAUAUUAAGGAACGUGGACACAAAGAAUGAGUUUGGAACAGAAGUUUAAUAAGCAAAAGAAGAAAGCUCUCCCCAGCAGAGAGGGGACCCGAAAGAGGGUUGCCAACUAGGAGGCUGAAUCUGGGGGUUUUGUGAACUGGGAAGAGGAAGAAUGUGCUCACUGGUCUGUGAGCUGUCUUGGAGAUAGCACGACUUCGCUUGGCCCGGGACCUUAGCCUGGGACCAAUCAGAGGCUGAAGUGAAAUUUUGGCCCAAGACCAAUCAGGGGCUGAAGUGAAAGUUUGGCCCAGGACCAAUCAGAGGCUGAAGUGAUGAUUCAUAGAGGCUCGGCUCACAGUCCAAAGCAUGUCCAGAAAACAAAGUGGCCGCCGGAGCCUGUUAGUCCAAGCUGCACCGAUUUGUAAGCCCCCACCAUUUCACAGACCCUGUUCAGAGGGAAACAUUCCACUGGGGUUUGGGCUGCGAGAAACAUCCUCCCCAACCGCCUGACUUCCUUAUCACAUCCUGCUGGGGUAGCACUUGCUGCUACCCUGUGAGGGAUGGAGGGGCACCCUGAAGCAUUGGAGAAGUGCAUGAGUGACCUAGCUCAGAUGAUGAUAUCAUAGUAACCCUGUUUAUUAUUUAUCACCUACCAUGUGCCAGGCCUUGUGCGAAGUACUUUGCACACAUUACCUGCCAUAAAGCUCAGAGACAACUGUAGGAGUGAAUCUGUUAUAACUCCCACUUUACAGGGGAGGAAACUGACGCCCAGAGAGGUGAACCAGUCUUCCCCAGGCCUUGCACCUAGUCUCUAGGAUGUGGAUUCAGGCGGUCUGUCUCACAGAUCCCCUCAUCCUCUUGGUUUUUGCUCCUGCAGCCCUCUGGCCUGUCCCCAGGACCCUGUAACCUUGGCCACCCCCAAGAUGACCUGGACAUGGGCUUCAGCAAAGGCAGCAACCCCAGCAUAUCUCCAUUUGAUAGGGAGGAACCUCAGGCCCACCACAGGAGCCCUGGGCUGCAGGUGGUAUAGGUGCUGGCUGAACCACAGUGCACCCAUGUUGGAGGAUGCAACAUAGGAUGGGCAGCAGCAGGAGGUCUCCCUGCCCAACAACUGGUAGUGGUACCUGAGAACAAAGGAGGAGAAGGAAGCUUUGGAUACAGGUGUGGAGAAGCCCAAGGAGGAAGAAAAAGACUUGGACUAUGGGCUGCUGGAUGGCCUCAAGGAUCCCCUCCCCGAAAAGGAAUUUUGAGACUUAUACCCAGGGCUGAGAUGAAAGUGCUUCCUAUUUUCUAUCCUGGAACUGCUGCAAACCUCGGUGUGACAUCACAGGGCCUCAUUUCCCUAUUUGUAAAAUGGGAUUUUAUGGGGGUUCCAAUGAGAGACUGGACCGAGAGCAUUUUGAGAAUUGUAAAAAAUGUACAUUGAGGGAAUAAUUAUUAUCAAUGGGCCAUUGCUCUUCCAAUAGUUAGUAUUCUUUAGCAAAUAUUGGAAGGUAAAAUAUGAUUUAUUGAGGAGGUUUGCAGCAGCUGAGGCCCUCAAGAGUCUUUUCUGUCUCCGUUCAAAGCUGGCCUCUGACAGGGACCUUCUUGGUGCUACCCCUGGGCCCCUCAUUCUUUGUGCAGGCUUCUCAGGGUUCUUAUUUCUAUUGCAUCUUGUGGUUCCCUGGUGGAUGGCAUGCUCCAUCUUCACUCAGAGCUAACUGCAUCUCCUCCAGGCCCAUGUCCCUUGUGCAGCACCCAUUGCUUCCUCACCAGGAUUCAAAACCUUCUGUGACUGACCUCUGCUGACCUCCCAACUUUAUCUCCCCUCAUUCUUUCUGCUCCUCCAGUUACAUGCCUGAGCCCCUCAAUCCUGUGGCUCACACUCUCACCCAAGCUGUUCUCCAUCAGGAUUUGCUUGGCUCCCUUUUCUGCUAGGCAAAUUUGUGUUCAUCCUUCCAAGCCUUGCACAGAUGUCCUCCUCUGAAAGCUCUCCCUGAGGUCACAGAGUCCUGGAACAAGGUAGUCAUUGCUCCUCUGCUGCCUCUGCAUUUUGUGCCUUUAUCACUUUGGUGUGACUGCCCGCCUCCUGCUGAAUGGAGGCAUUUUGGCUUUACUCACCUCAGUAUCUCCUGGGUCCAGCUGGGUGUCUGGCCUGGCCCAGAAUCAGUGCUCAUCAAGGGUGUAUAGAACUCACAAGGACCCAGGAAUGUUUUGUAAAUAAUACCACCCUCCCACACUUCUCCAAUGCUUACUUUCUAAGCUCCUUUACUCUUUGACAUUCAAAUUUCUAAAUGGCCUGUAUGUAUUUACAAAGCCUGGGAAAACGCCUUCAGAGGACAAACACACCCCACCGGCAAAAUGUAUUUGCAUUGACUAGGAUUAUGGAUGAUAUUCAGCCUUCUGGCAAAUGAAUCAUUUGGCAUUGGCUGAGUAUCUGCUCUGUGCCAGAUACUAAGCUGUGAUCUCUAGAAAGAGACAUGAACUACUGACACAGUCCUUGACCCCGAAGAGCUCAGAAUCCAGUGAGCUUGAUUUCUUGUAAGUUAGAGACAGAGUUCAGAGCAGAAGCUGAGGCAGGAGAAGAGAAGUAAAAUGGACACAUCAGAG
This 2971-nucleotide long non-coding RNA is filed under the name Homo sapiens (human). RNAcentral's name for it is "HSALNT0266058". The record is from RNAcentral. Lineage: Eukaryota; Metazoa; Chordata; Mammalia; Primates; Hominidae.